RNAcentral lists this ribosomal RNA (785 nucleotides) under uncultured Actinomycetes bacterium. RNAcentral's name for it is "bacterial SSU rRNA". It matches the Rfam family "Bacterial small subunit ribosomal RNA", at positions 68 to 863 of the family's 1533-position model. The record is from RNAcentral. Lineage: Bacteria; Bacillati; Actinomycetota; Actinomycetes.
GGAAAGGCCUGCAGCUUGCUGCGGGUACUCGAGUGGCGAACGGGUGAGUAACACGUGGGUGAUCUGCCUUGCACUUCGGGAUAAGCUUGGGAAACUGGGUCUAAUACCGGAUAGGACAGCUGUUUAGUGUCAGUUGUGGAAAGUUUUUUCGGUGCAAGAUGAGCUCGCGGCCUAUCAGCUUGUUGGUGGGGUAAUGGCCUACCAAGGCGUCGACGGGUAGCCGGCCUGAGAGGGUGUACGGCCACAUUGGGACUGAGAUACGGCCCAGACUCCUACGGGAGGCAGCAGUGGGGAAUAUUGCACAAUGGGCGGAAGCCUGAUGCAGCGACGCCGCGUGGGGGAUGAAGGCCUUCGGGUUGUAAACUCCUUUCGACAGGGACGAAGCGUAAGUGACGGUACCUGUAUAAGAAGCACCGGCUAACUACGUGCCAGCAGCCGCGGUAAUACGUAGGGUGCGAGCGUUGUCCGGAAUUACUGGGCGUAAAGAGCUCGUAGGUGGUUUGUCGCGUCGUCUGUGAAAUUCCGGGGCUUAACUCCGGGCGUGCAGGCGAUACGGGCUGACUUGAGUGCUGUAGGGGAGACUGGAAUUCCUGGUGUAGCGGUGAAAUGCGCAGAUAUCAGGAGGAACACCGAUGGCGAAGGCAGGUCUCUGGGCAGUAACUGACGCUGAGGAGCGAAAGCAUGGGUAGCGAACAGGAUUAGAUACCCUGGUAGUCCAUGCCGUAAACGGUUGGGCCGUAGGUGUAGGGGGCUUCCACGUCUUCUGUGCCGUAGCUACGCAUUAA